Tympanuchus pallidicinctus (lesser prairie-chicken) is the source of this 3338-nucleotide long non-coding RNA. RefSeq lists it as uncharacterized. Lineage: Eukaryota; Metazoa; Chordata; Aves; Galliformes; Phasianidae. The transcript is spliced from 6 exons. The record is from RefSeq and is a predicted model, not a curated record.
AUAAGCAGGUGGAAUUUACCGUUCUGGACUUGAAGUACACCUUUUUCUGCCUGGUUUUGCAAAAGAAAGUCUAAAAUUAUUUGCCUUUGUAUAGAAAAACUCAAAUAUGGAGAGAAGGAAAAAAAAUAAUAAUUAAAAGUAAUAAUAAUAAUAAUUCAGUUAACCUGCACAGUGUUACCCAGGGUUGUGAGAACAGCUCAGUGAUUUUUGAGAACUGGUCAACUCGUGAGUCUGAGAUUUGGAUUCACCAUCUCACAGUGAACUUUACUGCAGUACGUGGAUGCUACAGUAACAAAGAACUGUGUGCAAUGGACUGUGAGCUUGCUGAAUUUCUUGAUUUAAAUGGCUAUCAAGUUUCUCAACAGAAAGCACAACUGAUCAAAGAGAAGGAAGCAACUUGCUGAACACCCAGAACGCCAAGCACCCUCCAAGCCAGCAGUGUGUGACUGCAUGGAGACUGUCUGUGCAAGUUGGUCAGACCUACAGGAGGAACCGUUGGAUGAUGCUGAGGAGUCCUGCAUUCAUCGACGGAAGCAGUUUUGUGAAGACAAGGAAACCGUAAGGCAGGACAUGCAGUAACUGCUACUGACAAGAUUUGCCCCUGGAACCAAGGUGGGUAGGUCUGUUCCAGGUGCUGCUAACAUCCCACACAACAGUAAAAGCAUUGUGGAUACAUAAUACUAGAGUUAAGAAGGUCCCUUGAACACAAUGAGAACUGAAGUCAGCUGGGCCCUUAAAAUUGUGAAUCCAAAGACAAGAACGUGGGCUUUUGUAAUUGUUAGAAAUGUUGAUUUGAUGAGUGCAUCAUUUGAUGUAAAUACUUAUGUAUCUCUUGUGACAAACAUCAUUGCAUAUCAGUAUUGUUUGGUAUGCGGGCAAGCUAAGGAUUUAAACUUUUCACUUCUUGUUGUCCCUGAUGAUUUUAAGGUGAGAAAUCAAACUGUUGCAGGGUUUGAGUCACUGUCCUGGUGGGUGAUGAUCAACAAGAAUGUAGAUUGGAUUAACUACAUCCGUUAUAAUCAAUGGAGAUUUGCAAAUUAUACAAAGAGUGCAAUGAGGAGAAUUGCAGGACAGUUAAAUGCCACAAGCAGGAUGGCCUGAGAAAAUAGCAUCUCCUAAGAUAUGAUACAAGAGUGUAUAUAUAACACUGGGUACCCGUUGUUGCACCUUCAUCCCAAUAACACAGCUCUGGAUGACAUAAUAGUGAAGGCAUUGCAAGGGCUUGGUACCACCCUAGUCGAUGAAGUGGCAGAAAAAUCAGGAAUAGAUACUUCUAUCACUGUAUAGUUGGAGUUCUGGUUUGGUGAAUGGAAAGGGGUGACUGUAUCCACAUUUACUUCUUUGAUAGUAGAAGCAGGAGCCCUGAUGGCCAUUGGUUGCUGUGUUUGUGAGGGGACUAGUGGAGUUAUUGAUCAAGACAGCACUAUUGAAGCAAACACCAAUGGAGCUUUUACAUUUGGAUAAAAUGAUGGUAUUAGAGGAGAUGGGAGAUAAAGAAAGUGAAGACAAGGGAGACGUCUAUAAAAGUGAACCUUAAAAAAAAAAGUUGCAGAAAUCAACAAUGUAUAAAAAAAGAAAAAGGGGGUAAUUGUGGGAAUCAAAUGUUGUUUCUGCAUUAGAAUUGUAUAAUAUUAUUUUUAUUUUAUGAUCUCUGCUAUCAUAGUUCUUUUUGGGAGUCCUUCUAUUUAACUUUGGGAAGAUCUCUGAUAAGUUUACAUCACUUAUUCUCUAGACGAACCUUCCCAGAAAUGCACACUCUGUAUAUAGGUGUAUAUAUGUAUAUUUUGUCAUAUACACUGCAGGGAUAUCCUGCAGGGGAGCAAACCAGAGAACAAGUCAUAGUCUGCCCGAGGAAGCACCUGAAGAGACAUGGGAAGGCCUGACAUCAUCCCAAGUGCUCUUUGUUUAACGAAGACCUUAAAGAAAAUCACCAUAUCAAUAUGACAAGGAGAGCACCGAGGCAUCUUGGAAACAAGAGGAUGACUACUGACUGGCACCAGAUAACAAAUAAAUUAACAAGUAAAUAGCAAAUCUCCGUCCAGCUGCGGUGCAAACACGCGGCCUCCGCCCGGCAGCGUUCCCACACUCAACAUGGCUCCUCAACUGCUUCACCCGCUCUUCAGCGCCCCCCUGCAGCGCACCUCUGCCGCUCUGAACUUGCCCUUUCUGAAAAGGGCCGCCAGCUUCACCCCGCGGCCGCCUUGCCCGGAUGACGGCCGGGUCGCGGUCACGUGGCGGGCGAUGGGUCGUGAGGGCGGUGAGGUGCCGGGUUUGUCCGCUCCUCCUGGCCGCGUCGUGCAGUCGGCCCCUAUUGGGUCCAGGGCCUCUCAGGGUCGGUGCCGCUUAUGUACGGGACGGCGCCGGAGGGCCGGGAUCGGCGGCAGCGGAAAGGCACUGAGUUCUCUGAGAUGUGCUACGGAAAUGAUGAGAGCUACUUCUGAGGCUGUGAGCGGUGGCUGAUGAGAGAAGCUAAAGAGAGGAACCUCAAAAUUGAACAGAUUGAUACGGAAUGAAAGGGCAUUUCAUAGAAAAUGGAUGAAGGCCUCUCUAUCCUGGGACAAAACCAGAGCCAAAUGCCUGAGUAACUCAGCAGGAACUGCGGGCUGUGGAGAUUGCAGAACCUUCAACAAUGCAGCAGUGCAGGAUGUUGAGCUCGGAUCCUAAAGCAAACCUGUGUGAACGGAAACGUGAGCUCUUAAGUGUUGUGCACUACUGAUGGCUUUUAAAGCUGCGUGCGUAAGGACUGCCUAAGCUACUGCACAGCACAUCCAUCUGCUGUGUCAGGACAAGAGAGAAACUGCAGCUCACUCCUCUGUCAGCCUGAACUCAGCUUCAAAAUACUAUUUUUUAACAUAGUCACCACCACUAGCUAUGCAUUUUUGAUGUGAUUUAGCAAUGAACAUGAGCCUGCAUGCUGCAUUUGUAAAAAUCUGCAUCAGCAGAGGUAAACUACUGCUGUUGUCACCACUGCUGAAGUCCAACAUCUACCACCUCCCUGAGCUCAUGUCCAUUGUCUGGACUCCAUCCAGCAAGUGUCGGUGAAUGUUGGUGGGUGCAAUUUUUUCCAUACAGAGGAAGUCAGUUCCUCAGCUUUGCAUCAUCUGCAAUUCCAUGUUAAAUGCCAUUUUGUCAGACGGCUUCUCUCCUGUUAUUUGUUGGCUGACAACAAAAUGUAAUGGAAUACUGUUGAGAAGGUUCAUCCUCUAUUGUCACACCACAAGCAUCAGCCUCUGAUAUUGUGGACGAAUAUAAUCAAAUAGGAGAUGGUACUGUUGAAGCAGACCUCAUACAUACACAUUGAAUCAGCUGUACAAUUUUCUCUUCAAAGGCCUAAUUUG